AGUGAACGCUGGCGGUAGGCCUAACACAUGCAAGUCGAACGGCAGCACAGUAAGAGCUUGCUCUUACGGGUGGCGAGUGGCGGACGGGUGAGGAAUACAUCGGAAUCUACUUUUUCGUGGGGGAUAACGUAGGGAAACUUACGCUAAUACCGCAUACGGCCUACGGGUGAAAGCAGGGGAUCUUCUGACCUUGCGCGAUUGAAUGAGCCGAUGUCGGAUUAGCUAGUUGGCGGGGUAAAGGCCCACCAAGGCGACGAUCCGUAGCUGGUCUGAGAGGAUGAUCAGCCACACUGGAACUGGGACACGGUCCAGAGUCCUACGGGAGGCAGCAGUGGGGAAUAUUGGACAAUGGGCGCAAGCCUGAUCCAGCCAUACCGCGUGGGUGACGAAGGCCUUCGGGUUGUAAAGCCCUUUUGUUGGGAAAGAAAAGCAGCAGGUUAAUACCCCGCUGUUCUGACGGUACCCAAAGAAUAAGCACCGGCUAACUUCGUG
This 492-nucleotide ribosomal RNA is filed under the name uncultured bacterium. Its description in RNAcentral is "partial 16S ribosomal RNA". It matches the Rfam family "Bacterial small subunit ribosomal RNA", at positions 29 to 507 of the family's 1533-position model. The record is from RNAcentral.